ACAGCGCAAAUACACGUUGCUCAGGUUUCCAGGGGCCUUUUUGUUUUUGUUUUUGUGCCAAGUGCCGCUGUUGCGUCGUGAAGUGGGGGCGUCGCAGCGCGAAGAUUUCAUAGCAUCCCCACUUCCAGGAAGAUGUCACAGCUUAAAUUCUGUUCUCGACGAUCCCCAGUGGUUUGCUGUAAUGGCUGUGUUGCAUCAAGCCAAUCUCUUGCCACAAAUAUUGGCCUUGAUAUUUUAAAGAUGGGUGGCAAUGCUGUAGAUGCUGCUGUGGCUGUAGCCGCUGCUUUAAAUGUUACCGAACCAUUCAGUACAGGCCUAGGUGGAGAUUGUUUCUGCCUGUACUAUGAUGCAAGCACAAAGCAGGUGCGUGGUCUCAAUGGAAGGUAAGUUCCAAAAAGACGUAUGAGAGCAAAUGCUCAAGGAAAGGGCUGGGCUCCAUUACCAAGUUCAAGAAGAGAAGUAAAAAACACAAGCGUGCCUAAUAAAACUAACGCAAAAUAAAGCAUGGAAGAGUACACAUUGCAGAAGUAAAGCCUCCCAGAAGAACAGAUAAUAGAUUUGAAAAAUCUUCACCAUCCACAAGAGAUAUUUGCCUGAUACCAUUUCCAGUGCGCCUGAAGCCUUGCAAUGUAAGGACUUCUCUGCAACAAAUUUAUUUAUUUAUUUAACAGACUUUUAGGCCACCUCAGUUGCAAUUGAAAAUUAAGUGUAAAACAAGAAGAAGGUAAGGCAAAUGAAACAAAUAAUAACAUUGCUAAAACCCAUGUUGGAGAAAAAGAACACCUGUUGUACAUCACAUAAAUAUAAGUUAAAAGCAGGGUAACAAACCACCCUGCCCCAGGGCCUGCUUAAAAAACCCAGUUUUCAUAGCCUUUAUGAAAAGGGAACAAGGUUGAGGCUUCAGGAGAAUGUUGUUCCAGCCAUGGAGAAAUUUCUUUGUGGUAGAAAUAUGAAUGGAAGGGAAAGAAUAGGUGAAGGUGUCCAAGUGGGUUGUGAGAAAUGCAGCUGGGCAACUGAGGCUCUGAAUAGGCUCUUUGCUCAGAGCCAGUGAAUCAGAAGUAGAGAAAAGACUUGAACCCAGGUCUCUUUGAGCCUUGUUGCAAUAAGUAUUGGGAGAAGAUGUCUAGCUGUUGCUUGAAGCGUGGAAAAAUGGAUGAUAGAGAAACAGUACAAAUAGUCAUUUGAGUGAGCGGGCAAAUAAGAAUCCAGGUUAUUGCAAGUAACACUUCCUAAACCGAAGCACUUUUUCUGAAAGAGGCGGCAGAUUUUCUGGACUAAAUUUCUCAGAACAUUUCAAUUUAAUGAUAGAGAUUGGGCUUGCUACAGUUCUCACAAGCUUUCUUGCAUAUGCAAAUAAUACUUGCUAACGUUUUGGAUUUGUACCUGCAGACUUGUGUGCAUAAUGUCACUUUAAUUUAUUUUUAAACUGUCUCUGAUAAUGAUUUUGUGUGUAUACAAUAUUACAAUGGACAGAAAGUUUUGGUUUCAUUUGGGAAAGUUUUGUUUUUUUAAUUUAAUUAGAAGGUCGGAAUCCAGCUUUGUAUCUCAUUUCCUUUUUUUUUAGUUCUGAAUUUCCUAUGUCUGACUUUUACUGAACUUUUUGGAAGUGCAAAGGAAUGGCUGUCCUUUUGCUGUUGGGCUUCACUGAAUGUGAAUAGGAGGGGGCUAUAAAAGUCUAGCAUCAGGUGGUUUUUGAUUCCUUUUCUGUAGUGUAGUCAAAGGGCAAAGAACAGGGUGUGCUGUCACUCAUAUAUCUGAUUUCCAAAGAUACUCGCCUCCUGGAACGUUUCACAAAGAAACAGGAAACCAUUUCAAAUACAAAUGACUUUUUCCCCCCAGAUGUUAUACAAUGCACACCUGACCAAGCACCAUGAUGAAAGUAUAAUUAAAGGAACUUUUCCUAUGGAAACUACUUCCUAUGAUACCGUGCAGUAGUUUGCUAUAAAAG
Non-coding RNA from Python bivittatus (Burmese python), 1948 nucleotides. The record is from RefSeq and is a predicted model, not a curated record. Lineage: Eukaryota; Metazoa; Chordata; Lepidosauria; Squamata; Pythonidae.